CAGAGUGCCAAGACUACUUAAACCAUCGCUGAACGUACUGCCAAGUUGCUUCGGCGGCGCGGCUCCCUCACGGGGACCGCAGCCCCGCCUCAGGAGGUAAGGUCCCCGUACAACUCUGUAUUAUAUUGGUAUCUCUGAGUAGUAUACAAUAAGUUA
RNAcentral lists this unclassified non-coding RNA (156 nucleotides) under soil metagenome. Its description in RNAcentral is "partial internal transcribed spacer 1". The record is from RNAcentral.